AAAAACUUAGUUAAAAAAAUAACGUUAGUUUGUCAAACUAAAAUUAUUAAUUAUUUAAUAGUUUUUA
Molecule: transfer RNA, 67 nt
Filed under: Eulichas sp. BMNH 840452
Lineage: Eukaryota; Metazoa; Arthropoda; Insecta; Coleoptera; Eulichadidae
Description: tRNA-Asp
Source: RNAcentral